GSKCCUACGGGGGGGCAGCAGUAGGGAAUCUUCCGCAAUGGACGAAAGUCUGACGGAGCAACGCCGCGUGAGUGAUGAAGGUUUUCGGAUCGUAAAGCUCUGUUGUUAGGGAAGAACAAGUGCAAGAGUAACUGCUUGCACCUUGACGGUACCUAACCAGAAAGCCACGGCUAACUACGUGCCAGCAGCCGCGGUAAUACGUAGGUGGCAAGCGUUGUCCGGAAUUAUUGGGCGUAAAGGGCUCGCAGGCGGUUUCUUAAGUCUGAUGUGAAAGCCCCCGGCUCAACCGGGGAGGGUCAUUGGAAACUGGGAAACUUGAGUGCAGAAGAGGAGAGUGGAAUUCCACGUGUAGCGGUGAAAUGCGUAGAGAUGUGGAGGAACACCAGUGGCGAAGGCGACUCUCUGGUCUGUAACUGACGCUGAGGAGCGAAAGCGUGGGGAGCGAACAGGAUUAGAUACCC
RNAcentral lists this ribosomal RNA (461 nucleotides) under Bacillus aerius. RNAcentral's name for it is "bacterial SSU rRNA". The record is from RNAcentral. Lineage: Bacteria; Bacillati; Bacillota; Bacilli; Caryophanales; Bacillaceae.